UCUUCCCCAAUUUCUCCAUCUCCCUCCCUCACUUGCUCUCUCUCUCCCUCUCCCUCUCUCUCUCUUAUGGUUAUUGCUUCCCCUAGGACUGCCAUAGUAGUCGUCGCUCCACCUCCUCCACCAUCGUCGCCGUCGCUUCGCCUCCACCACCAUUCCUCUUUGAAGUCCACCGGGCCGUGAUCUCUCCCUCUCUCUUAAGAUCUCUCAGAUACGA
RNAcentral lists this long non-coding RNA (214 nucleotides) under Elaeis guineensis (African oil palm). RNAcentral's name for it is "long non-coding RNA (EGUI_LNC048875)". Lineage: Eukaryota; Viridiplantae; Streptophyta; Magnoliopsida; Arecales; Arecaceae. The record is from RNAcentral.